Molecule: ribosomal RNA, 473 nt
Filed under: uncultured bacterium
Lineage: Bacteria
Description: partial 16S ribosomal RNA
Rfam family: Bacterial small subunit ribosomal RNA
Source: RNAcentral
GAUCAACGCUGGCGGCGCACAUAAGACAUGCAAGUUGAACGGACUUAAUCGAAAUAUUUAUAUUUUGAAGCGGUUAGUGGCGGACUGGUGAGUAACGCGUAAGGAACCUGCCUAUUAGAGGGGAAUAACAGUGAGAAAUCAUUGCUAAUACCGCAUAUGCCAUAGAUAUCACAUGAUAACAGUGGGAAAGGAGCAAUCCGCUAAUAGAUGGCCUUGCGUCUGAUUAGAUAGUUGGUGGGGUAACGGCCUACCAAGUCGACGAUCAGUAGCCGGACUGAGAGGUUGAACGGCCACAUUGGGACUGAGAUACGGCCCAGACUCCUACGGGAGGCAGCAGUCGGGAAUAUUGCGCAAUGGAGGAAACUCGGACGCAGUGACGCCGCGUAUAGGAAGAAGGUUUUCGGAUUGUAAACUAUUGUCGUUAGGGAAGAGAAAGGACAGUACCUAAGGAGGAAGCUCCGGCUAACUACGUG